GAUGAACGCUGGCGGCGUGCCUAAUACAUGCAAGUCGAGCGAACGGACGAGAAUCUUGCUUCUCUUAUGUUAGCGGCGGACGGGUGAGUAACACGUGGAUAACCUACCUAUAAGACUUUGAUAACUUCGGGAAACCGGAGCUAAUACCGGAUAAUAUUUUUAUCCGCAUGGUUCAAAAGUUAAAGACGGUCUUGCUGUCACUUAUAGAUGUAUCCGCGCUGCAUUAGCUAGUUGGUAAGGUAACGGCUUACCAAGGCAACGAUGCAUAGCCGACCUGAGAGGGUGAUCGGCCACACUGGAAAUGAGACAAGGGCCAGACUCCUAAGGGAGGCAGCAGUAGGGAAACUUCCGGAAUGGGCGAAAGCCUGACGGAGCAAAGCCGCGUGAGUGAUAAAGGUCUUCGGAUCGUAAAACUCUGUUAUUAGGGAAGAACAGAUGUGUAAGUAACUGUGCACAGCGUGACGGUACCUAAUCAGAAAGCCACGGCUAACUACGUG
This 497-nucleotide ribosomal RNA is filed under the name uncultured bacterium. Its description in RNAcentral is "partial 16S ribosomal RNA". It matches the Rfam family "Bacterial small subunit ribosomal RNA", at positions 28 to 507 of the family's 1533-position model. The record is from RNAcentral.